Molecule: ribosomal RNA, 446 nt
Filed under: uncultured bacterium
Lineage: Bacteria
Description: partial 16S ribosomal RNA
Rfam family: Bacterial small subunit ribosomal RNA
Source: RNAcentral
CCUACGGGGGGCUGCAGUCGAGAAUCAUUCACAAUGGGGGAAACCCUGAUGGUGCGACGCCGCGUGGGGGAAUGAAGGUCUUCGGAUUGUAAACCCCUGUCAUGUGGGAGCAAAUUAAAAAGAUAGUACCACAAGAGGAAGAGACGGCUAACUCUGUGCCAGCAGCCGCGGUAAUACAGAGGUCUCAAGCGUUGUUCGGAAUCACUGGGCGUAAAGCGUGCGUAGGCUGUUUCGUAAGUCGUGUGUGAAAGGCGAGGGCUCAACCCGCGGACGGCACAUGAUACUGCGAGACUAGAGUAAUGGAGGGGGAACCGGAAUUCGCGGUGUAGCAGUGAAAUGCGUAGAGAUAGAGAGGAACACUCGUGGCGAAGGCGGGUUCCUGGACAUUAACUGACGCUGAGGCACGAAGGCCAGGGGAGCGAAAGGGAUUAGAUACCCUUGUAGUC